GGGGUGACUAGUGACAGAGUUAGGAAGGGGGUGACACAGUGACAGAGUGAGGGAGGGGGUGACUAGUGACAGAGUGAAGGAGGUGGUGACUGUCACUAGUCACCCCAUCCCUCCCUCUGUCACUAAUCACCACCUCCCUCACUCUGUCACUAGUCACCCCCUCCUUCUCUCUGUCACUAAUCACCACCUCCCACACUCUGUCACUAGUCACCCCCUCCCUCUCUCUGUCACUAGUCACACCCUCCCUCACUCUGUCACUAUUCACACCC
Non-coding RNA from Pelobates cultripes (western spadefoot toad), 269 nucleotides. The record is from the annotation of a GenBank genome assembly. Lineage: Eukaryota; Metazoa; Chordata; Amphibia; Anura; Pelobatidae.